AUUGAACGCUGGCGGCAGGCCUAACACACGCAAGUCGAGCGAGCGGCGGACGGGUGAGUAAUGUAUGGGGACUGCCCGAUAGAGGGGGAUAACUACUGGAACCGGUGGCUCAUACCACAUACUAUCGGAUAACCCAUAUGGGAUUAGCUAGUAGGUUGGGUAAAGGCUCACCUAGGCGACGAUUUCUAGCUGGUAUGAGAGGAUGAUCAUCCAAACGAGGACGGAGACAAGGCCCAGAUUCCUACGGAGGCAGCAGUGGGGAAGAUUGCACAAUGGGCGCAAGCCUUAGGCAGCCAUGCCGCGUGUAUGAAGAAGGCGUUAGGGUUGGAAAGUACGUUCAGCGGGGAGGCGUUACCCGCAGAAGAAGCACCGGCUAACUCCGUGCCAGCAGCCGCGGUAAUAC
Molecule: ribosomal RNA, 403 nt
Filed under: uncultured bacterium
Lineage: Bacteria
Description: partial 16S ribosomal RNA
Rfam family: Bacterial small subunit ribosomal RNA
Source: RNAcentral